CUAGAUGUCGCUACUGUCGCCCUUGUUGUUCUUGUUCAUGCGUCGUGAAAAGAGGCGAAAUGAGCGAAACUAAUUGUUGCUAAUUUAUGCUUAUAUUCAUGUGAUUCAUAUACUAAAUUGAGCUUCGUAUCUUAUAUGCAUUAUUGUCAGUCCAUGCUGGCAGUCAAGUUUACUUAAGCGCUCAGUCACUUUCCAUUCAUUACAUCCUUAUGCUGUCAAAAGCC
Molecule: long non-coding RNA, 224 nt
Organism: Daphnia pulex (common water flea)
Lineage: Eukaryota; Metazoa; Arthropoda; Branchiopoda; Diplostraca; Daphniidae
Exons: 2
Source: RefSeq, a predicted model, not a curated record